Molecule: ribosomal RNA, 335 nt
Filed under: Gephyromantis matsilo
Lineage: Eukaryota; Metazoa; Chordata; Amphibia; Anura; Mantellidae
Description: partial 16S ribosomal RNA
Rfam family: Bacterial large subunit ribosomal RNA
Source: RNAcentral
UCCUUUUUCCAAUCAGUGAAACUAAUCCCCCCGUGAAGAAGCGGGGAUAAGCCUAUAAGACGAGAAGACCCCAUGGAGCUUUAAACCUAGCUACACCCCCGACUACUACACCAUCUAAGAAAUCGGAGACCUGUUACGCUCAGUUUUAGGUUGGGGUGACCACGGAGUAUAAUAAAACCUCCAUGAUGAAUGAAACUAUUCUCUUAUCUGAGAACUACACUUCCAAGAAUUAGCACACUAACAUUAAAUGAUCCGCUAAACGAUCAACGAACCAAGUUACCCUGGGGAUAACAGCGCAAUCCACUUCAAGAGCCCCUAUCGACAAGUGGGUUUAC